GAGGAAGCAUCUUCAGAUCAGGAUGAAAUCUUUAUAUUUGCAUUCAAACAUUGUAAAAGAAAUCUAGUAUAGGUAGGAAUUGAGAUAAUUUGCUCCAGAAAGAACUCUUCUUGCAUUUUGUUUCCUUUGUUGCUCUGCAUAUGACCUUCAAUUUCAGUCAUUGUUUCAAAUUUUGUUUGCUCUGGUUCGACUCUGUGUUUAGUGUUUCUGAGUUUUUCUUCUCUUUUUUUUUUCAUCAGACUCUACUCUAUUUGUCGGCAAUCUUCUUUCUUUGUUUACCUGCUUUUGUUCUUGGGUGGAUCGAAUAUAAACAUUUGUGUACAUCUUUGGCUCUUCUUUGUUUGAUUCACUUUCUUCAAUUAGAUCAGAAAAUAUUUCUCUGAAGGCAUGUUGAUUUUAUUAUUUUACACGAUUUCUGUUUGUGUUACUUUUUCGAUUUCUAAUUUGUUUUAUUCAUGUUUUUUACAGUUUAAUUUUUGAUGCUUCCGAGUUUCAGCAGUCCUGAUUCCUGAUGUUUUCUGGGUGAGCAUGGUUCUCUCCUUUUUCAAGUUAACAACUUAUUUUAUAUUACUUUUGCUGAGAUUGAUUGUGAGUUGCAAGUUUCGCAAUGCAAUUUUUGUAUUAUGAAUCCUUGAUGGACUAUGGUGAAAAUUUACUUUUCUUUGUAGAAAAAACAUCAAAGAAUUAUACUACUAUACAAAUCAGGUUUGUUAAUAUUGAUACUGCUGAUGUUAAUAAUCACUUGGCUAUUGUGAAAUAUGUUGAGGAUAUUUACAAAUUUUAUAAGCUCACAAAGGUCUGGUGAAUAUCAGAUGUCUCUGUUUCAAUGCUGGGGUGAUUUUACUGUUAUAGUGGAUACGGUGAGUUACUUUAAUGUGACAAACAAUAGUUUUGUGAUUUUAUUGUGUAGUGUAUAAAAUUCAUGUUAUUUUGAUAAUUUGGCUGAUUCAGGAUGAACGUUGAUUGUAUUAUUACAUGGAUUCACAACCACACAUCAACGCCAGGGUCAAAGCUAGCAAUUUUUCUGGAAGGUUGAACUACUUGAAAAACAUGAAAGCUACAUUACUUCACACAGUUGCGAGAUGAAGAGAAACUUUUUAGGAUCUAUUGUCAAUAUUUUUAGCAUUGUUAGUACUGUAACUCUCAACUAAAAGCUGGACAAAGUUACAAUUUUCAUCAAAAAUCGGUAAUGGCAGAGGGGCGUUUCUUUGGUUAUUGCUCAAAACUACAACUGCUAGUGAUUAUUUCUCAUGUAGUGAUUUUUUUAUGGAAUCAAUGUGUUAUCAAAACAUUUACGUUUAGUUAUGUUAUAACACAAACAGUUGAGGAUUGCACAACCUUACUACUAAAUGUUCAGAAAUAGACUUCUUUCUUGAAGGAGGAUUGCCAUUCAAUUGACGACUUGUGAUCAUCAAUUGCGAGAAGCUGGUGAGUGGCCGAAACGAUUGGCAUCUCAAAGAGUUUAUAUGUGAUCUAGCAGAACACAAUAGAUUGGGAGGGGGUGGAGACAGGUUUUUCUGAUUAAAUUUGGCACUAGUACUCGAUUUCUUGAGUUUUUGCUUCAGUAAAAG
Molecule: long non-coding RNA, 1571 nt
Filed under: Solanum tuberosum (potato)
Lineage: Eukaryota; Viridiplantae; Streptophyta; Magnoliopsida; Solanales; Solanaceae
Description: long non-coding RNA (STUB_LNC011006)
Source: RNAcentral